RNAcentral lists this ribosomal RNA (253 nucleotides) under uncultured bacterium. Its description in RNAcentral is "partial 16S ribosomal RNA". It matches the Rfam family "Bacterial small subunit ribosomal RNA", at positions 524 to 776 of the family's 1533-position model. The record is from RNAcentral.
UACGGGGGGGGCAAGCGUUGUUCGGAAUUACUGGGCGUAAAGGGCUCGUAGGCGGCCAACUAAGUCAUACGUGAAAUCCCUCGGCUUAACUGAGGAAGUGCGCCCGAAACUGCUUGGCUUGAGUACCGGAGAGGAUGGUGGAAUUCCCGAAGUAGAGGUGAAAUUCGUAGAUAUCGGGAGGAACACCGGUGGCGAAGGCGACCAUCUGGACGGAUACUGACGUUGAGACGCGAAAGCGUGGGUAGCAAACAGG